AGUGAACGCUGGCGGUAGGCCUAACACAUGCAAGUCGAACGGCAGCACAGUAAGAGCUUGCUCUUACGGGUGGCGAGUGGCGGACGGGUGAGGAAUACAUCGGAAUCUACUUUUUCGUGGGGGAUAACGUAGGGAAACUUACGCUAAUACCGCAUACGACCUACGGGUGAAAGCAGGGGAUCUUCGGACCUUGCGCGAUUGAAUGAGCCGAUGUCGGAUUAGCUAGUUGGCGGGGUAAAGGCCCACCAAGGCGACGAUCCGUAGCUGGUCUGAGAGGAUGAUCAGCCACACUGGAACUGAGACACGGUCCAGACUCCUACGGGAGGCAGCAGUGGGGAAUAUUGGACAAUGGGCGCAAGCCUGAUCCAGCCAUACCGCGUGGGUGAAGAAGGCCUUCGGGUUGUAAAGCCCUGUUGUUGGGGAAGAAAAGCAGCAGGUUAAUACCCCGCUGUUCUGACGGUACCCAAAGAAUAAGCACCGGCUAACUUCGUG
Molecule: ribosomal RNA, 492 nt
Filed under: uncultured bacterium
Lineage: Bacteria
Description: partial 16S ribosomal RNA
Rfam family: Bacterial small subunit ribosomal RNA
Source: RNAcentral